Molecule: transfer RNA, 70 nt
Filed under: Pseudomonas sp.
Lineage: Bacteria; Pseudomonadati; Pseudomonadota; Gammaproteobacteria; Pseudomonadales; Pseudomonadaceae
Description: tRNA-OTHER
Source: RNAcentral
UAACUGUGUAGCUCACCGGUAGAGCGGCCUUUCACGAGGCGCGCUGCGGGUUCAAUUCCCGCCCAGUCGU